CCUACGGGAGGCAGCAGUGAGGAAUAUUGGUCAAUGGGCGGGAGCCUGAACCAGCCAAGCCGCGUGAGGGAAGAAGGUACAACGUAUCGUAAACCUCUUUUGUCGGGGAACAAAGGCGGGGACUCGUCCCCGGCGGAGGUUAACUGAAGAAAAAUCAGCGGCUAACUCCGUGCCAGCAGCCGGGGUAAUACGGCGGAUGCGAGCGUUAUCCGGAUUUAUGGGGUUUAAAGGGUGCGCAGGCGGCCUGUUUAGUCAGCGGUAAAAGCGCGGGGCUCAACCCCGGCGAGCCGGUGAAACUGGCGGGCUGGAGUUGGAGAGAAGUACGCGGAAUGCGCGGUGUAGCGGUGAAAUGCUUAGAUAUCGCGCAGAACCCCGAUUGCGAAGGCAGCGUACCGGCUCCACACUGACGCUGAGGCACGAAAGCGUGGGUAUCGAACAGGAUUAGAUACCCUAGUAGUC
Molecule: ribosomal RNA, 459 nt
Filed under: uncultured bacterium
Lineage: Bacteria
Description: partial 16S ribosomal RNA
Rfam family: Bacterial small subunit ribosomal RNA
Source: RNAcentral